Molecule: long non-coding RNA, 31159 nt
Filed under: Nicotiana tabacum (common tobacco)
Lineage: Eukaryota; Viridiplantae; Streptophyta; Magnoliopsida; Solanales; Solanaceae
Description: long non-coding RNA (NTAB_LNC018562)
Source: RNAcentral
CAGACUGAUCUGCGUUUCCAGAGUCAUGCUGUGUUGGCUCUGCAGGAGGCUGCUGAGGCUUACUUGGUUGGUCUCUUUGAGGACACAAAUCUUUGUGCCAUUCAUGCCAAGCGUGUCACUAUCAUGCCAAAGGACAUUCAGCUUGCUAGGCGUAUCAGGGGCGAGCGUGCUUAAUUUGAUCAAGUGUGGUAGCUUUGGUGGUGCUUUUAGAUCUUUUUUUUUUUUUAUAAGACAAUGAUGGUAUUAAAAUUUAGUAAUAGGGAUGAUAUGCUAUGUUGAUCUUAUUUUGUGUGGUGGAUGGAGGUGUGCUGUAAUUGUUGUUCUGUUUUGGGAAGUGGAGAAGCAUAGUAUUUGUUGAAUCUUUCUAAUGUUUUGUUGUCACACCACUGGUGUUGAACACGUUUCAGAAUUUGCAUCUAAUGUUUAGUUCAACUGUUUGGUAUUUGCAUCUUAUCUUUCACUUCAUAGUCUUAUUGUUAGCAUUGCAAUGAUAUUUUUAGGGCCAAAUUGGAGUUUGGUGUUAAAUGUUUGUUGACAUUGGCAGAGGCAUCCGACGCCUUAAGAGUGCUGAUGCAUUGGUCGUUGCAACUUUCCUGGUAUAGUCGAACGUGGCAUUGGCACAAGGGUUUUUUGUCCAUGUAGCUUCUUUAAAAGCAUGUCAAAGGGAUCCUCAGUUGACCCUUUUUAUAAUAAGUUGCCUUGUCAUCAUUUCUUAAUGCGCAAAGUAUUGGACUCUCUUAGCCUAAUUCUUACGAGAUGGAUUCAUAAAAUCUACCUACGCAACAUAUCUGGCAGGCUCUUAAAUCUGAGAGCUAACUUCGUGCUAUCCACGUCUCUGUGAGUGUGGCACUUGAAAUUUGUUUAAAAUCAUCCCAAAGGUAGGUGUAGGUGUAGGUGUAGGUGUAGGUGUUACAUAUGAGUGGAAUUGUAGACGUGUACAAAAUUAUCCCAAAGGUAGAUGGUACAUAUGUUUUUUGUUUUAUCUUAUACUCGGGGAAGUUUGAGCGUAGGACUAUGCAGAGAAUGAAACUGCACUAUUUUGCUGUGUGGCAAUGUCAUAAGGAGUGCCAAAGAAACACAACAUCCAUAUAAGUCAUAUCCUACAGAAAAUCUCAUUUUCUGUAGAAUUGGAAUUAUCUUAAAUAGGAGGACACAAGCUCUUACUUUCUAUCCUUGGAGGCACAAGGCUAGAACAUCAAGAUCUCAAUGCAUUGGCACGAGAGGGUAAACUCCAAUCUGCGCGGGGUGUUUGAUAAAAUGUUACCGAGAGAGAUGUGGUUUAUUGGAAUUCAACGAUUACAGUCUAUUGACAAUAUGAGUGUCUCCUGAAUCAAAUAAACUCACAGAAACGGGUUUGAGAACCAUAAACUACCAAGAGCCCGUAGUAGUACUCCUAUAGAUGACGUAAAGUAUAUAGGAUGUACCACGGAUUUUGGGGAAAAGAAUAACUCUGAAAAGAGAGUUUGAGCAUUGCUGGUGCGAGAUAUCAUAGAGUGAUUGACAAACAAUAGAAUUUAUCCAAAUGUUAUAUUCAUCAUACGAUACAGUACAAUAUAUUACAAUAAGGUACGAUAUGUUAUGAAACCAUAGGUAUCAACCAUCCAAACAAGCUGUAAGAAUUUCAAGUUACUUUCAAGGAUACCAGAUUGAUAACUCUAUAGGACUUUUGCCAAAAGUUCUUAAGCCAAAAAAAUACAAAACAACGCCUCUAUCUCAUUAACUUGAGUGAUAUUUGUCCUUCAAAUUUUUCCCCUAAUUACAGUACCAACUGGCUUAAAGAGCUGAUUAAUUAGCCCAAAUAUACUACUGAUUAAUUGCUGCCCCAUGCAAUAGGUGGUUCCAUUUCAACAUUUCUACAUAUAUCCUUAUCUUUAAUGUUUGUUCGCCAUUUCCUGAGCUACAAGCUCAAAACUUUCAUACCAUUAAACCUCCCUUGCUGCCAUAGCUUUGAACGUUAUAUUUCCCGCCGCACGAGCAAACCCUCCAAAUCACCUCAGGUUGUCUACAACUGCAACAUCAGGAUCAAUGAGCUGGCACGAGAAGGUAAACUCCAAUCUGCUCAGAAGGUGUUUGAUGAAAUGUUACACAGAGAUGUUGUUUCUUGGAAUUCAAUGAUUACAGCCUACUGGCAAAAUGGGUGUCUCAGUGAAUCAAAGAAACUGUUUUUAUCAAUGCCUGAGAGGACUGUAGUGUCUUGGAAUUCUAUGAUCGCAGGUUGCGUGGAAAAUGAUAGCAUUGAUGAUGCUUACUUAUAUUUUAGCACUAUGCCUGAGAAGAAUGUUGCAUCGUGGAAUGCAAUGAUUUCGGGUUAUGUUAAACAUGGUAUGGUGGAGGCGGCGGCGAGGUUGUUUGAUGAGAUGCCUAGAAAGAAUGUGAUUUCUUAUACUGCAAUGAUCGAUGGGUAUACGCAGAAAGGUGAGAUUGACAAGGCAAAGUCACUUUUUGACCGUAUGCCACAAAAAAAUGAGGUUUCUUGGACUGUGAUGAUUAAUGGGUAUGUAGAGAACGGGUGUUUCGAUAAGGCAAAAGAGUUGUUUGAAAAGAUGCCAGCUAAGAAUAAGCAUGUUGUUGCGACUACAGCUAUGGUAAUUGGGUAUUGCAAGGAGGGACGGGUGGAGGAAGGAAGGAUUUUGUUUGAUGGAAUACUAUGUAAAGAUAGUGUUGCUUAUAAUGCCAUGAUUUCAGGUAUGUAAAGUAUGAUUUUCGAGAUUUAGAUAGUGUGAUCCCUGUGGUUGAUUCUCUUUUUUCUUUUAUCGUGGUUCAUUAAGUUGAUAAUUAAAGACAGUGAUGAUUCAUUAUUUUCAUAUGUAAUGUGAUUACGGUAAUUGAGCAUAGAACUGGAGAGUUGUGUUCACUUCUUGUCAGGCAAGUGCACCAUAAUCUUUUACUUAGUAACUUUAAGAUUUUAUUGAACUGAAUCAAUCUAAUUUAUGAUGAGAUAGACACCCUUUACUGUUUAAAUUAAUUUGAUGAAUGGCCUAAGUAUUCCUGCACUGUAUUCACUUGAUUCUGGUCCAAAAUAUCAGUUAAAUACAAGCUGAAGCAUCUGGAUUUGGAGUGCUAUGAAAGCUCAAAAUUUUAUUGAAUCAACUGCUAAAAAAGUGUUUGGCGGGAAAUACGUGAUCUAUUUUUAUGCUAGUUGUUAGAGCAGUUGAAGCUAAGAGUAUGAAGUUUAAUGAAGAGAUACAAGCUGAAACGGGGCAGUAAUCAAACCCAGGGGCUUGUCGCCCGAGCCUCGGACUGGUCGAUGAAGGAGCCUCGGGGCUGAUAUCCGGCUCGGUCUCGAGCUAUUAGGGGUAGUCGGGGAUGGGAUAACAGUUGAGAUAUGAUCAAGCAAGGCUCUUUAUGGCCAAUACCAAACAAUAAAUGAAGAACAAGUAUGAAAGCAAUAAACGUUAAGAGUGGCCUCGAGCUAAUAAGAACGAGCAAGUUAGAGAGAAGAGAGGGAGAGAGAUAUUAUUGAUCUUGUGGAGAAUAGUUGGAGCAACGUCAGCCGAGAGACUACAAAGUAAUGGGGAUCCCCUUUAUAUAGGAGGGAAAUCCACUAUAGUACAAAAUGUGGUAACUGUGAAGGCGUGGAGAUAGGAUGGCUGGAUGUGACAUCUCGAAAUGGGCCCCGGAUAGGUCAGCCUUGUCAGAUUAAGCCGCGUGCCUUGGGAACUCCCCUCUCGCCUGUUGUAGUGCACUAUAGCUGUUGGAACGCGAUGCCCUCCGGACUGAUACCUGACGACCCCCGAGGGUGAGUCUCGACCUUGGCUUCUAGCUUCGAGGAGCAUGACCGCGAGACGACCCUAUGACAGGGAAAUCGGGCCCCUGAUUCGCCGUAUACAGAUAGUCUCCGCGUUUCUUAGAGUGAAAGCGGCAGGAUAUGAUAAGAAACGGUCCUGAACUCCUGCUUCCUUUGGUGUUCUUGCAAACGGCUACGAGAUGCCAAGGUGCACCAUGCGUGCUGUCCUUGCAGGUUUUUCGCAUUGACUGCGGCGGUUGGCUUCCUUCAAUGUAUCCACGACGCUUUUAUAAAUACUCACCUCUUCCUUUCUAGACUCCAUCUCGUGCCAAAAACCCCCUAGUAAGGUCUAUUUUUCCCUCGUUCUUGCUCUUUUUCAAGAACGCAACCACUUCUUCUUCUUCCUUCAGAUUCUCUCAAGGAUGGCGAAAAUUUCCACUUCUGCUUCCCAGGAGGUUGCGGGCCACUUCCCCCUGUGUCGAGGAGUGUGUCCCAGGAUCCUUGUGAUGACUUCUGAUUUUAGGGUCGAGAGACUUUCCUCGAAGUCAGGGCGCCGCGAGCCUGUAACUCGGUAUAUCAGCUCUAUGACGGAUAUCGAAAGAGUAAGGGCCGACUGUCGUUGGGGGGAUACCGUGCUCAUGGAGAUUCCCGCUCGGGAGGAAGAUAUUACUAUGAGCCGGAUUUCUGAGUGUGUAUACUUACCCAUUCACCUUGGGGCCGGUGGAGUCAUCCUCGCCCCUGAUCGACCCUGUGAUUCUCGACUUCUGCCGGAGUUAUCAGGUAACUUUGGGUCAAGUUCAUCCUUUGUUCUGGCGCGUGGUUUAUAUGAUCAGGCAUUACUCGAGCAUGAUAGAGGGAAUGCCCUUCACCCUGAACCAUCUAAUCCGGAUGUAUAGUCCCCGACUUCUUCGCAGGGGCUUAAUCAAGCUUCGUUGCCGAGCCCCGAGAUCCCUUUUUGCCUGCAUCGAGGAGUUCGGGGACGAGGGAUGGUUAAGCCGAUUCGUCCGAGUGAGGACGUCUGACCUGAUUCCAGUGGAUAAGAUGUCAUUCCCUGAAAAGUGGAACGUCGGGCAUAAGUAAACGUGGUGUCUUUGCUCCUUCUUGGCGAUAUUUCCCUAUGCGUCUAACUCUGUUUUUCUUGUCUUUUCAGCCGUAGCGAUCUACCCUGGCGCGGUGUCGGAUCUCCAAGGUUGGGUUGGUCGUUUAUACUCAGUUUGUCCGUAUAUCGAACAAGCGUGGUGAAAUUUAUCCCGAGCUCGGUGGGAAGCCAAAGACCAUGGUGAGCCUCGAGCCUUGAUGCAUCCGUGUAUUUUUGACGCAGUUUGCUGUUAGUAGCUUUCUCCAUCCUUCGCAUUUAACCUCUGCAUCCAUGUAGGUCUGGGAGAAAUCCCAUUGACGAGGGAGGCACCGUCCGUUGGAGGGGACGCUCUGGUGUUUGGCGAGGAGAAGAAAAGGCAGGGAGUCUAUCCGUUGGGCCACCGGAGCCCAAAAGGGCCAAGGUGGAGGAUUCUAAGGUUGACCCAGCAGUUCCGUCCUCCAAGGCGACGGGAAAUCCCCGUGCUGAAGGUGAGGGAGAAAGCAGCUUCCCGGCAACUCCCGAAGAGCGUUUGGACUUGAUCGAUCCUCGGGCCGUGGGGAUGGAUGUUCCCGGACAGGAGUCUGAUGCCGUCGUGGCCCAACUUCGUGGCGGUGAGGCAAUGGAUGGGGUAUCGAGCACUGCCCUUGAAUUGGCAGGUGGCCGGAGUUCUUCUCGAGCUGGGACGCCCUUCGCAGGCAGUUCGGAGGGGCCUCGAUCUGGGACCCAAGGUGAACAAUGGACGGAGAUUUUGGCUGACCCUGCUAGCCCGUUGAUUGUUGUCGAUUCUCUUCAAGGGGAGAUCCUUCCAUCUUACGAAGUGCAAGAUUCCCCUCGCAAGGAGCCUUCUGAGGCAGGAGCAUUGGUCAAAGGCGGAGAUGCACUCGAGAGGCCGGCGACCGUUCUCGAGGGUAGUUCUGAGGUCGAUGCUUCAUCCAUUUUUGGCGAGAUGGGCAGACUUUGUGAGCGGGUAACUCCUGCUAACCUUGUUCGCCGCUUUGGGCCGCUCCGGCCUUUGUUCUUCUAACUUGUCUCUUUAUAUGGUUUCAGGCAAAAAUGCUUUAUAACCAGGCUCUCGCCCAGUAUCAGGAUGAGGUGAGCCGUUGCGAACGCGAGAAAGCCUAUUUUACCGAGCAGGUUAUUCAUCCCUUGUUUUUACUAUUACUUGAGCCCUUGUGAGAUUUCAUUGCUUCUAACUUCUCGGGCCUUGAUUUUUGUAGUUUGAGAACGAGAAUGCCCUGCUGAGAGGGGAGCUUCGGGCCAGAGAUGCUGAAAUCUCCGAGCUUAGUCGGCACGUGAGCGAGAUGGCUUCCGAGAGGGACAACCUUCAGGGGAGAGUUACCUUGAUCGAGCGUCAACUCCAGGACGCGAAGGAGAAGGAGGAUAGUGACAAGUAUAAGAGCCUCCAUUCCGAACUGGUGGCCGCAUUAGUUCGGAUCAAAGCUGAGGCCGAGGCGCUUGUAUCUUUGCAUGGGGGAGGAGCAGUCAUCACAGAUUCUUGCGUUGAGAGGACGUUUGAGGGGGCUGGCCCGACUUUACCUCGAGCCGCGAAUCGUGCCUGGCCGAGUUCCCGAAAGCAGACCAUUGGGGGCGCAUUGGAAGGCAGCUCGAGUAGUGUUUAAAAAUGGGGGUGGAUCCCCGGAGAGAGGACGCCGUUGAGAAGGGGCCGUCGGGGGACUCGUAAUUGCCUGGGUGCAACCCUUGGGGAGCUAUUGAGGCUGCCGGUUCGGCAAUAGAUUAGGAUCUUUGUUGUUCUUUCCUGUCGAUCUCCCUAUUUGUACAUAGUACUUUUAUUUUGGCAUAUGUAUAAAGAGAAUCCUGCGGCUUUGUUUCCCUUAUUCCCCUUUCUACUUUGAAUUCAGCAAGAAUUGGCGAAAGAACCUUAGACCCGCGAUAUAGCGCCGUGGCCCGUUCGGGCUGGCUUGAGAGUUGUCACACGGCUGGUCGAUGCGGCCUUCAGUGUGAACUGCCGCAAGAGCUCUUGCAAUUUUGCCCAAUUGUUUUGUGUUGAGUCUCCGGGUCGAGUUUUUUCUCGAGCCUACUCGAUCUUCAAUCUCAUGUGCCUGCACGGUCGGGUGAUGAUGGCUCUCAUCCCUUGCCCUUGGGUAUUAGUAUUUUGCCUGUUUUUGGGUUCAGUCUCCAAGUCAUGUUGCAACUCGAGCUUCAAUUGACCCUCAAGCUUUUUCGUGCCUGCAUGGGCGGAUGAUGAUGGCUCUUGCGCCUUGGGUCGAAACGACCUUUUGAGUGUGUGGCCCGGAGACUCGUUUGGUUGGCGACAAUGGAACUUACGCUGUGCCCUUAGGCAUGUGUAGUUAACUAUUUUGGAUCCGGUCUCUGAAUCGGGUUACGACUCGAGCUCAUUUUAAUCCUCAAGUUUUCAAUUUUCAAGUUGGCGACAGUGGCUCUUACGCUCUUUGGUCGUUGAGAACUUUUAGUGUGCGGCCCGGAGGAUCGUUUGGCUGGCGACAGUGGCUCUUACGCUUUUGCCCGUGGGCAUUUUGUAGGCUUUGUUUUCCUCUCGUUAAGGUCCUUUUAAAAUGAUUUUGCCUGACCCAUUGUUGGUUUAGGAAGAACCUCGAUUUCAAGUCGUUAGCGGUGAUGUUCGAGCACCUCGGAAGGUUUUUAGCUCGUAGGUUGGGUAGCUUGAAACCUUGUGAUUUGGAGCUGACAUGGUCGAAGCUUGUUUGCCUGUUGAGGGAAGCCUGUUUUAACCGGUUCUUUUCGAAAUAUAUUCGAAGUAAUGGCGUGCGAUUUUGUUAGUGACAGUCGGGUGUCCCCGAGUCGCGUUAAUUUGGAUGGUGCAGCCGUUUUGACCGUAGUCGUAUGUGUUUGGCCGUAGUCGUUUUAUGCCUGUAGUAAGGUCUUACAAAUUUUCAUGCCUGUUGAGGUCUUACAGUUUGUCAUGCCUGUUGAGGUCUUACAGUUUUUGUUGCUAUGUAGAAUAAAUCUGGUUAUACCGAGUCCGUCCGCUCGGGGUCUUACGGCCUCGGGUUUUCCAGUGUACGACGAUUGGCGACAGUCUCCGAGUCAUCGAGUUUGCUUAGGCUCGAAGGCCGUUAUUCGAGAGCUCGGAGUUACCUUGUUGCGGCUUUAUGAGCCCGGAGUUCCGACCCUGGGGUCGUGCGGGUGCCAAAUUGUUGACGCUAAGUCUCCGAGUAUUUCGGGACGCAUUUGGUGGAGGGAUCCCUGCCGUGAGCAUGCUGAAAUUUCCUUUUUGGAGUAUGCGAUGUUGAAAAGAUAUUCUUUAAUUUCUUGGCAUAAAUACAUGUUGCUGGGUUGCUGUAAGCCUGGCUCAGGCGGACACGGUUCGCUCGACUGUUUGGCCUGGUACAUUAUUUCCUAUUGGAACCUCGUUUGUCAUUUCUCGGGAAAUGCGUGGACGUUGCCUCGUUAAAAACCUUACCGGUAAAAAAGCGUUUCGGGAUAAAAAACUCGGUCGAAGGAAAAGAGUGCGACGUCUGCUCGAGGAUAUUUGCAGGAUUUUGCAAUCGGACGCCCUAGUAGCAAUACCGCUUAAGCAUCGAUACAUUCUAGUUGCUCGGAAGCUGUUCGCCCUCCAUGGUGCCAAGCUUAUAGGAUCCUUUGCCAACUAUCCCAAGGACACGGUAUGGCCCUUCCCAAUUCUGGCCCAGCUUCCGUUCAUUAGGGUUUCGGGUGUUGAGAGUAACCUUCCUUAGGACCAAGUCCCCGAUCCCGAAAUAUCGGAGAUUUGUUCUUCUGUUGUAGUAUCUUUCGAUUUUCUGCUUCUGGACAGCCAUCCGAACCAGCGAGGCUUCUCGUCUUUCGUUGAGCAGCUCGAGGGCCGUUGUCAUGGCCUCGUUGUUCGAGCCCUCAUUAGUGUGCUGGAAUCUGGCGUUUGGUUCCCCAACUUCCACUGGUAUCAGUGCUUCAGCGCCAUAUACUAGAGAGAAAGGUGUUUCCCCGGUGCUCGAUUUAGAAGUUGUCCGAUAUGCCCACAGCACCUCGGGCAGCCGAUUUAGAAGUUGUCUGAUAUGCCCACAGCACCUCGGGCAGCGUUUCCCUCCAUUUUCCCUUGGCGCUCUCCAAUUUCUUUUUCAAGUUGUGAAUGAUGGUUUUAUUCGUCGAUUCGGCCUGGCCGUUUGAACACGGGUGGUAUGGCAUUGACAGGAUUCUCUUGAUUUUGUUGUCUUCAAGGAACUGUGUUACCUUGUUUUCGAUGAACUGCCUCCCGUUAUCGCACGUUAUUUCGGACGGGAUCCCGAACCGGCAUAUGAUGUGAUCCCAUAUAAAAUGGAUGACUUCCUUCUCUCUUAUUUUUUUGAAGGCCUGCGCUUCCACCCAUUUUGAAAAGUAAUCAGUCAUAAAUAGAAUGAAUCUAGCCUUACCUGGCGCCGUCAGCAAAGGGCCGACGAUGUCCAUUCCCCAUUUCAUGAAUGGCCAUGGUGAUAAAACGGAAUGUAGUUGCUCGCCGGGCUGGUGGAUCAUGGGAGCGAACCUCUGACACUUGUCGCAUUUUCCGAUGAAUUCCCUGGCGUCUUUUUCCAUGCUUUCCCAAUAGUUGCCCGCUCUGAUCACCUUUCAGACUAAAGAAUCGACCCCGGAAUGAUUUCCGUAGGUGCCUUCGUGGAUCUCUCGGAGCACAUAAUCUGUGUCGUCCGGUCCCAAGCAUACCGCCAGGGGGUCAUCGAAAGUUCUCCUGUACAGAGCCCUAUUUUCGUCGAGCGAGAACCGGGCUGCUUUGGUUCGCAGGGCUGUCGACUCUUUUGGAUCUGCGGGUAACUUCCCGUCCUUUAGAUAAACGAUAUAUUUAUUUCUCCAAUCCCAUGUCAGGUUGGUGGAGUUAAUCUCCGCGUGACCUUCCUCGACCACAGAUUUGAACAAUUUGACGACAGCUCCGGGGAGCAGGUCUUCUUCUUCUUCAGCAGAGGACCCCAUGUUCGCGAGGGCAUCGGCCUCACUGUUCUGCUCUCGGGGUACAUGGACUAAGGUCCAUUUUUUGAAGCGACGUAAUGUGAUUUGGAUUUUGUCCAAUACCUUUGCAUCCUGUCCUCUUGGGCUUCGUAGCUUCCGUUCACUUGGCUUAGUACGAGGAGCGAAUUGCAUUUUGCCUCGACAGUCUUGGCCCCCAAACUUUUCGCCAAUUCUAAACCUGCAAUCAUAGCCUCAUACUCGCCUUCAUUGUUAGUUAGUUUUGCGGUUUUUAUGGAUUGUCUGAUGAUGCUGCCGACGGGCGGCUUUAGGACUAUACCGAGUCCGGAUCCUCUUAUGUUUGUGGCACCAUCCGUGAACAGGGACCAUACCCCCGAGGACAUACCUGAUUUCAAUAAAAGUUCUUUCUCUACCUCGGGCACGAGGGAUGGCGAGAAAUCGGCCACGAAAUCCGCCAGGAUUUGGGACUUGAUGGCCGUCCGAGGUUGGUACUCGAUGUCAUACCCUCUAAGUUCAAUGGCCCAUUCGGUCAAUCGACCCGAUAACUCAGGUUUAUGCAGUACGCUCCGAAGGGGAUAAGUUGACAGAACACAGAUAUAGUGACAUAAAGUUAAGGCUUCAGCUUGCGCGAGGCACUUAUCAGUGCGAGAGCCAAUUUUUCCAAAUGGGGAUAUCGGGUUUCGGUGUCCCCAAAGGUUCGGCUUACAUAAUAAACAGGAAAUUGCGUACCUUGCUCUUCUCGAACGAGUACACCGCUAUUUCGGACACGGCUAGGUAUAGGUAUAGCGUUUCAUCCUCCUUGGGUGUGUGCAGCAAAGGCGGGCUAGUCAGGUACCGUUUCAGUUUUUCUAGGGCGUGUUGGCAUUCUGGAGUCCAUUCGAAGCUGCUCUUUCUUUUGAGUAGGGAGAAGAAAUGGUGGCUCUUGUAUGAUGAUCUUGAUAUGAAUCUGCCCAGGGUUGCUAUCCUCCCCGUCAGCCGUUGGACGGUUUUUACAUUGUUUACUACCGUGAUCUCUUCGAUGGCUUUUAUUUUAUCGGGGUUGAUCUCGAUCCCCCUGUUUGAAACCAUGAAGCCCAGGAAUUUGCCCGAACCUACUCCGAAGGCACACUUCUCGGGGUUGAGCUUCAUGUUGUAGCUUCUGAGGAUGUUGAAAGUUUCCUGCAAAUGGGUCAAAUGGUCCCGCACGCAUGGAUUUGACUAGCAUAUCAUCAAUAUAUACUUCCAUCGAUUUACCUAUUUGAUGUUCGAACAUUUUAUUAACUAGGCGCUGGUAUGUUGCUCCCGCGGUUUUUAGCCCGAAGGGCAUUACGUUUUAGCAAUAUGUACCAUGCUUCGUGAUGAACGAGGUCUUUUCCCCGUCCUCGGGGUUCAUCUGGAUUUGAUUAUACCCCGAGUAGGCAUCGAGAAAAGUGAGGGUCUNNNNNNNNNNNNNNNNNNNNNNNNNNNNNNNNNNNNNNNNNNNNNNNNNNNNNNNNNNNNNNNNNNNNNNNNNNNNNNNNNNNNNNNNNNNNNNNNNNNNNNNNNNNNNNNNNNNNNNNNNNNNNNNNNNNNNNNNNNNNNNNNNNNNNNNNNNNNNNNNNNNNNNNNNNNNNNNNNNNNNNNNNNNNNNNNNNNNNNNNNNNNNNNNNNNNNNNNNNNNNNNNNNNNNNNNNNNNNNNNNNNNNNNNNNNNNNNNNNNNNNNNNNNNNNNNNNGGUCGUGAUGCCAUCCCUCGUGGGAAACCUUAUCACCUGGUGCAAGGUUGAGGGCACUGCCCUCAUGUUGUGUAUCCAAGGCCUGCCGAGUAAGGCGUUGUAUCUCAUGUCGCCGUCGAUGACCUGGAACUCGAUGUUCUGGAUUGCGCCAGACGUGUUGAUCAGGAGGGUGAUCUCUUUCGCCGAUCAUGUUAAAGCCGUGGAGGAUUCGAGGGACGGGAACGACUUGAUUGAGCAUCCCCAGCUGUUCUACUACUUCUGACCUAAUUAUGUUGGCCGAGCUGCCUGGAUCCACGAGCACGCGCUUUAUCCUGGUGUUGUUUAAGAGAAACGAGAUCACUAGCGCGUCGUUGUGCGGUUCCAUCGUAGCCUCGAGGUCCUCCUCGCUGAAUACAAGGGUAUCUUCGGGCACGCGUUUUCGGGUCGGUCCUUCUCCCAUAGCGGACAUUCUCAUUCGUUUGAACAUGGGUCCUUGGGGAUCGUUGGUUCCCCCAAUAAUCGUGUGGACGUUAUGUUGGAGAACCUUCCCUUCUGUCCGGGUUAGCUCCGGUGGUGUACCGGCCUCUAGGGCUAUCGUGUCCUUUUCUCUGUUGUUUUCGAGGUUCCGGUUUCCCAUUUUACUCGCCGAGCUAGGCGCUCUGUCAUGAAACCGAAGAUCUUAGGCCAGAAAAAGUGUGAGAGAUAAUUUGCGUUUUUGAAAUGAAACCAGCAAGAAAAUAAUCACUAUUAUUUUUAGCCCCACGAUGGGCGCGAAACUGUUUACCGUGAAAAUAGUAACAACAAAUAAAUUUGUAAAUGAAAUUCUAAAAAUACGUGAUCUAUUUUUAUGCUAGUUGUUAGAGCAGUUGAAGCUAAGAGUAUGAAGUUUAAUGAAGAGAUACAAGCUGAAACGGGGCAGUAAUCAAACCCAGGGGCUUGUCGCCCGAGCCUCGGACUGGUUGAUGAAGGAGCCUCGGGGCCGAUAUUCAGCUCGGUCUCGAGCUAUCGGGGGUAGUCGGGAUGGGAUAACAGUUGAGAUAUGAUCAAGCAAGGCUCUUUAUGGCCAAUACCAAACAAUAAAUGAAGAACAAGUAUGAAAGCAAUAAAUGUUAAGAGUGACCUCGAGCUAAUAAGAACGAACAAGUUAGAGAGAAGAGAGGGAGAAAUAUUAUUGAUCUUGUGGAGAAUAGUUGGAGCAACGUCAGCCGAGAGACUACAAAGUAAUGGGGAUCCCCUUUAUAUAGGAGGGAAAUCCGCUAUAGUACAAAAUGUGGUAACUGUGAAGGCGUGGAGAUAGGAUGGCUGGAUAUGACAUCUCGAAAUAGGCCCCGGAUAGGUCAGCCUUGUCAGAUUAAGCCUUGUGCCUUGGGAACUCCCCUCUUGCCUGUUGUAGCCCGCUAUAGCUGUUGGAACGCGAUGCCCUCCGGACCGAUACCUGACCACCCCCGAGGGUGAGUCUCGACCUUGGCUUCGAGCUUCGAGGAGCAUGACCGCGAGAUGACUCUAUGAUGGGGAAAUUGGGCCCCUGGAUUCGCCGUAUACACAUUUACAAAGCAAUUAGAUUUGACAUUUUAUUAGCUUAACUAACAUUGCUUCAGCUUUACUAUUCUGAGUCUAACAUCCUCUAUUGUGUAGUUAGCUGAGUGACUAUAUAGCUGGGUCAAGUAACUAUUGGAUGUCAGAAAAUCACCUUAUGUGGUAUAAAAUUAAAUGCGUUUCUUGAGCACUCAAGUAAUGUUGGAGGAUAGCAUUCAUCCAACAUACUACGAUUCCAGGAGUUAGCUUAAUAAAUGAUAAUUCUCUUGCAAGGGAAAAUUAGAGUUCAAACCCCUUUUCUCCAAUUGAAAAAAAUAGUAUCAGCAUAUUGGAUGUGUGGUCGCUUUUUGCAUAAUUUGUUUUUCAGGUGCCAAUACACUUUCCUAUAUUCAUUCUGUUGGAAUUUCACAGGUUAUGCACAAAAUGGAGUAAAUGAAGACGCACUCAAGUUACUGGUUGAGAUGCUUAGGGUGUCUCUUCGACCAGAUCAGUCUUCAUGUGCUUCAGUUCUUUCUGCAUGUGCUGCUCUUGCAUCUCCUUUAGUUGGUAGACAAACUCAUGCAGUUGUCAUUAAAUUUGGGGUAGACUCCGUCGUCUCCAUAUGUAAUGCUCUAAUUACUAUGUAUAGCAAAUGUGGCAGCAUUUUUGAGUGUGAGUUGACUUUUGAAUUAAUAACAAGUCCAGACCUUGUCUCUUGGAAUACUAUAAUUGCUGCCUUUGCCCAACACGGGUUGUAUGCGAAAGCAGUUGCAUAUUUGGAGCAAAUGGUUCUCAGAGGAUGUGAACCAGAUGGUAUAACAUUCCUCAGCUUAUUAUCUGCUUGUGCCCAUGCAGGGUUGGUUAGUGAGAGUAUUUCUUGGUUUGAUUCAAUGGUAAAAAACUACAAAAUUACUCCAAGACCGGAGCAUUAUGCUUGUUUAAUUGAUAUACUUGGCCGAGCUGGUCAGCUGGACAAGGCUUACAACAUUAUACAAGAGAUGCCUUUUAAAGCUGAUUUAGCUGCUUGGGGUGCCCUUCUUGCUGGCUGUCGCGCUCAUUCCAAUGUAGAACUAGGGCAGCUUUCUGGAGAGAAAGUCAUGGAAUUAGGUGGUGAUAGUUCAGGGCCUUACAUUAUGUUAUCUAAUAUAUAUGCUGAAGCAGGUAUGUGGGAGGAGGUUACAAGAGUGAGAGGCUUGAUGAAAGAACAUGGCAUCAAAAAGAAACCGGCAUAUAGUUGGACGGAGAUUGAAAAUAAGGUACAUUAUUUUCUGGGAGGGGAUAUCUCUCAUCCAAAUAUUCAAGAAAUCCGUACAGCACUCAAGCAGAUGAACUUGCAGAUGAAAUUCCAGGAAAAAGUUCUGGAUUUCACCGACUUUUACUUCCUGGAUGAACUGGAAUGCGCAUGUAAUUAACAUAUCUAUGUCCUGUAAACUAUUCAAAUUUGGCAAAAUUUGGACUCUCCCUGAAAGUUCAGGAUCACUACUGCCUGAAAUGCUCAUUUAGCACCAAGUUCUUGUCCAAGCAAAAUGAAACUUUUCCACCAGGAGCACAAUGAUCGUCUUUAAAUAGGCAGAAGCAGAAUGGUCAUUCUUAUGCGAUUUCUGGGGAACUGAUAGACUUUGGCGAUCAGAGUUUAGACCAUGGAAGCUGGAAGAUUAUGAAAGGUAAUUGUGAGCUGAUCUCCCAUUUUUCAUAUUGUUUGGUAAUAAUCGCUCUUGGAUGAUACAGAAAUGUAGGGGCUGUAGUCCAUGAAUAGAGGAAACAACAACAAUAAACCCAGUGUAAUCCCACAGGUGGGAGAAAGAAGGAGGCGGAUAAAAAGGGAGGCGGCGAUUUGUCAUUUGAACACUGCACUAUUCAGUAACAAUAUUUCUCUAACUAUAACCUUAGAGAAAGGUUUUAUACUCUCUCCUGAACCACUCCUCCCCUCCUCCUCCGACAAUAAUUACUAUUAUUACCUUUCCUUUAUCUCAAUUUACAGUAUGUUAUUUUUUUAAUGAAGGUAAUAAGACUGUUUGAUUUAUCAAUUUACAGGACGAAAGAAAACGAGUUUACACAUUUAUAUUUGGAAUCAUAAUUAGGAACCUGAAAUUCAAAAUUCAAGCUGUGAAAGUGAAAACUAUUGUAGUCAAGUAAUCGACUUCAAUUGUUUUCAACCCCUCCCUGCUCUAAUAAAAUUAUCUCAAUUUUCAAGCUAUUUGCACCGUCAUGAGUUUAUUGAAAUUUUGAGUAUUGAGAAUGAUAUUUGUAGUGGUUAAAUGGAGUAUUAGGGGAAGGAAAGCAAUUUGGAUUUCUGAUAAAUACAAAACUGUUGAACAACGAAAAGGAUUUAUUAGAUGCAGGAGCUGCACAAAGGUGGAGGCUAAUAAAUCGUUUUCUUUAGGCCGCAAAAUUUUGAGUUCUCCAAAAAUUUAAUAGUGAAUUUUAUUAUUUUUAUUGAAGUUUGUAGGAAAAAGGUACAAAAUCUUUUUAAAAAAAUAGAAGAAAGAAAACAGUAGAAAUAUUUUAGAACCUUGAAUAAACUACUUAACCAUAUUAAUAACUAAUUUUUUGUACGACAACAUCUAAGGUAAUGAUAUAUUCAAAUAUAUCACUUCGAACGUAUUUGGGCUUAUAACUGUAUACAGUCGAAAUCAGGUAUGACCGAUUUUUCGGACUCGAAGGGUCACCUUAAGCCCGAGUUCGGGAUGGAUCGAGUUUGAGCUCGAGGGACAAAGAUCGAGCUCAACGAAAGAGUACGAGGCUCGAAGAAUCUAGUGUUCGAGAAAUGUCAGAGCCUAAUGUGAUUGGCCUCGAGAUAAUGCCGUUAUGGAUUUGUAACAGAAUGAGCAAGAUUACCAUGGCGUAAAUCCCGGAAUAGAUUUGUACGAAUCCGUACUACGCAGUUAGACAACUGUCCCAAUAAUAUUCUUUACUGUAAAUAGAAAUGUACCUUAUUUAGGGUUCCCCUAUUAUAUAAAGGGGACCCCAAUUAUUUGUAAAGAUCAUCUAAUCAUUGGCAAAGAAUAUACUCCCUUACUUUUUCGUUCAUUGUUUAUUAGAAUUGUUCUUUAGCUUUAUUAUUCUUGCUUUAUCGUUCUUGAUCCAUCUCGAGGUCACUUUGGCUCGAGGUUGAGACUGGUCUAAAUUCUGGUUUGAUUUUACUUGUUCCUUUCAUUUAUACUUUAGAUUUCUUGGUUAUUAAUUGGUAUCGAACUAAUCACGUAUCUUUAAAAUCAUAAAUCAAAUUUAAUUGUUACUCGUAUUUUUGAGGUAAACAGUUUGGCGCCCACCGUGGGGCUAAAGAUAAUAGUGAUUAUUUCAGUGCCGAUUCUCAUAACACACAUUAUUUUUACACUUGUUCUUGUCAAGAAUUUUUGAUUCUCAGGCUAAAACAUGUCAAACUUGCAAAAUGCACAUGUAUACGACAACGAUGGUCUUGGAUUUCAUGGAGAAAAUAACAAUGUAGGGGUCGGUGUACCACCAAUAAACCCUAGGAAAGUGCCAAAUAUGGAACCGGUUGAUGUUAGUUCACACAUUGCUUUGAACGCAGAUUUAGGCACAAACCACGUGGGAAGUGUACGCAGGGAAGCCCGAUCUGGUGGCCAAGGAACGCAGGGUAUAAGAGAUGGGGGAGUUAGCCUCCAAGUGAUAUUCGAAAUGCUUCAAGCUCAACAGAUUGCCAUCGAUCAACUUCAAAGUCAGAAUAAAACUUCGAGUAUNNNNNNNNNNNNNNNNNNNNNNNNNNNNNNNNNNNNNNNNNNNNNNNNNNNNNNNNNNNNNNNNNNNNNNNNNNNNNNNNNNNNNNNNNNNNNNNNNNNNNNNNNNNNNNNNNNNNNNNNNNNNNNNNNNNNNNNNNNNNNNNNNNNNNNNNNNNNNNNNNNNNNNNNNNNNNNNNNNNNNNNNNNNNNNNNNNNNNNNNNNNNNNNNNNNNNNNNNNNNNNNNNNNNNNNNNNNNNNNNNNNNNNNNNNNNNNNNNNNNNNNNNNNNNNNNNNNNNNNNNNNNNNNNNNNNNNNNNNNNNNNNNNNNNNNNNNNNNNNNNNNNNNNNNNNNNNNNNNNNNNNNNNNNNNNNNNNNNNNNNNNNNNNNNNNNNNNNNNNNNNNNNNNNNNNNNNNNNNNNNNNNNNNNNNNNNNNNNNNNNNNNNNNNNNNNNNNNNNNNNNNNNNNNNNNNNNNNNNNNNNNNNNNNNNNNNNNNNNNNNNNNNNNNNNNNNNNNNNNNNNNNNNNNNNNNNNNNNNNNNNNNNNNNNNNNNNNNNNNNNNNNNNNNNNNNNNNNNNNNNNNNNNNNNNNNNNNNNNNNNNNNNNNNNNNNNNNNNNNNNNNNNNNNNNNNNNNNNNNNNNNNNNNNNNNNNNNNNNNNNNNNNNNNNNNNNNNNNNNNNNNNNNNNNNNNNNNNNNNNNNNNNNNNNNNNNNNNNNNNNNNNNNNNNNNNNNNNNNNNNNNNNNNNNNNNNNNNNNNNNNNNNNNNNNNNNNNNNNNNNNNNNNNNNNNNNNNNNNNNNNNNNNNNNNNNNNNNNNNNNNNNNNNNNNNNNNNNNNNNNNNNNNNNNNNNNNNNNNNNNNNNNNNNNNNNNNNNNNNNNNNNNNNNNNNNNNNNNNNNNNNNNNNNNNNNNNNNNNNNNNNNNNNNNNNNNNNNNNNNNNNNNNNNNNNNNNNNNNNNNNNNNNNNNNNNNNNNNNNNNNNNNNNNNNNNNNNNNNNNNNNNNNNNNNNNNNNNNNNNNNNNNNNNNNNNNNNNNNNNNNNNNNNNNNNNNNNNNNNNNNNNNNNNNNNNNNNNNNNNNNNNNNNNNNNNNNNNNNNNNNNNNNNNNNNNNNNNNNNNNNNNNNNNNNNNNNNNNNNNNNNNNNNNNNNNNNNNNNNNNNNNNNNNNNNNNNNNNNNNNNNNNNNNNNNNNNNNNNNNNNNNNNNNNNNNNNNNNNNNNNNNNNNNNNNNNNNNNNNNNNNNNNNNNNNNNNNNACCGGGGGCACCUCGGAUCUUGAAAGGUUUGGAUGCCAAAAAGCUCAUACAAAAGUCGUUCCCUCCGAGUGCAGCUCUGAAGCCCAUUCCUAAAAUGUUUCGCAUGCUCGUUAUACCCAAAUACAAGGGACAACUGACCCUAAUGAGCAUAUUACUUUGUAUACUUGCGGGAUUAAAGAAAAUGAUUUAAAUGAUGAUGAGAUCGAAUCGGUAUUAUUGAAGAAAUUUGGGGAAGCUUUGUAAAAGGGAGCCAUGAUUUGGUAUCACAACUCGACCCCGAACUCUAUCGAUUCGUUUGCUAUGUUAGCAGACCCCUUCGUAAAAGCACAUGCAAGGGACAUAAAGGUGGCAACGAGGAAAUCAGAUGUUUUUAAGAUAAGACAGAGGAACAAUGAGAUGUUAAAGGAGUUCGUAUCCUAGUUUCAAAUGGAGCGAAUGGAAUUACCACCGGUCUCGGAUGACUGGACAGUACAGGCUUUUAUGCAGGGUUUGAACGAGCGGAGUUCGAUCGUGUCUCGACAAUUAAAGCAGAAUCUUAUCGAGUAUCCAGCUGUGACGUGAUCAGGCGUGCAUAAUCGUAACCAAUCGAAGAUCAAGGUCGAGGAAGACCAGUUGGGAGCCCCCUCGGGUUCAGUUCAUCCUAAUAGAUUGACAACUUAGCCCCCGAGGGAUACAGACAGGGAAUCAAGAUCGAACAAAGAAUGGUAUCAGUCAUAUGUAGAUCGGAAAAACAACGGCUCAGGGCGUAAUGAUCCUCAGAAUGAUUGAAGAAAUGAUCGAGGUCAAAAAUCUCGGGGACUCAUGAGUAAGAAUAGGUUCGAUAAACAUACCGACUAAGCGGAAGCACCUCGAUUAUUGGAGUAUAAUUUCAGUGUAGAUGCAUCGGGGAUCGUGUCAACUAUUGGAAGAAUCAAAGACACCAGGUGGCCCAGGCCUAUUCAAAACGAUCCUUCUCAAAGAAAUCCAAAUUUGAUGUAUAAGUAUCAUGGCACACAUGGCCAUAAAAUUGAAGACUGCAGGCGGCUAAAGGAGGAAGUGGCUCGGUUGUUCAACUAGGGUCAUCUUCGAGAAUUUCUCAAUGAUCGAGCCAAGAACCACUUAAAGGAAAGAGAUACAAACAGAAAAAUGAGCAGGAAGAACCGCAACAUGUAAUCCAUAUGAUCGUUAGCGGUGUCGAUGUUCCACAAGGGCAUGUGUUCAAACGCACCAAUGUGUCGAUCACCAGAGAAAAACAGACUCGAAGAUAUGUGUCCAAGGUCAUCCUACCAUUCAAUGACGAAGAAGCGGAAGGCAUAUCUCAGCCACACAAUGACACCCUGCUAAUUUCUAUUUUGUUAAAUAAAAUUCAAGUGUAACGUAUUCUAGUAGAUACAGGUAGCUCAGCAAACAUAAUCAAAUCGAGGGUCGUAGAGCAGCUCAGUCUACAAGAUCAAAUUGUACCUGCAUCCCGAGUCCUAAAUGGCUUCGACAUGGCAAUCCUACCAGUGAACGUGGCCGGAACCAUCCAAGGUACGAAAUUCCAUGUCAUCGAAGGCGACAUGAGGUCUAAUGCACUUCUUGGGAGGCCAUGGAUCCACAACAUGAGGGAUGUACCUUCAACCCUUCAUCAGAUGAUGAAAUUCCCAACAGUAUAUGGCGUGAAAAUGGUCUACAGAGAACAACAUGCUGCAAAGUAAAUGUUUGCAGUCGAUGAAGUGACACCGAUUCCAGUGCCUUCGACUUUGGAAAAUCGGGGGCCAAAGAUAAAUAGGCGGCCAAAUAGCAAUCACCGAUUCCAGUCCCGAUCGAGCCGGAGGAACAUGUAGUCGAAGAAGAAGAAGAUGGUUUCCUUACUCCUCGAACUUUCGUUGUUCCCAAAGAGUCAGACGCAACCAAGUCAACGGUCGAGGAACUAGAACAUGUCAUACUAAUUGAGUACAUGCCCGAGAAAAAGGUAUACUGGGAACGGGAUUAACCCCCAAACUUAGGAAAAAACUCAUUCAAUUUCUUAUCGAUAAUAUGGAUUGUUUUGCUUGGUCCCAUUUAGACAUGACAAGGAUCCCGUCGGAAAUAACAAUGCACCGGCUAAGCAUCGACCCCAGGUUAAAACUAGUAAAGCAAAAAAGGAGACCCUAGUCCGAGGUGAAGCAUGCAUUCAUAAAGGAUGAGGUAACCAAGCUUCUUAAAAUAUGGUCUAUUCGGGAGGUAAAAUACCCCGGGUGGUUAGCUAACGUAGUUGUAGUUCCUAAAAAGGGAAACAAACUUAGAAUGUGCGUAGAUUAUAAAGAUUUAAACAAAGCAUGCCCUAAAGACUCUUUUCCACUGCCUAACAUUGAUCGCAUAAUCGACUCCAGAACCAGCCAUGAGAUCCUUACCUUUCUCAAUGCCUACUCCGGGUACAAUCAGAUUCAGAUGAACCCAAAGGACCAGGAGAAGACCUCAUUUAUCACUAAGUUUGGAACUUAUUGUUACAACGUAAUGCCCUUCGGGCUAAAAAAUGCAAGAGCUACAUACCAACGCCUAGUUAACAAAAUGUUCGAGGAACAGAUAGGUAAAUCAAUGGAAGUUUACAUUGACGAUCUGUUGGUUAAGUCCCCGCGCGCAGAUGACCAUUUAACUCAUUUUCAGGAAACAUUCAAUAUCUUGAGGAAGUACAACAUGAAGCUUAACCCGAAAAAGUGUGCCUUCAGAGUUGGCUAGGGAAAGUUCCUCGGCUUCAUGGUAUCUAAUCGGGGAAUCGAGAUCAACCCCGAUAAUAUCAAGGACAUCGAAGAUAUCACAAUCAUGGAUAGUGUGAAAGUCGUGAAAAGGCUAACAGGACGAAUAACCGCCUUGGGUUAAUUCAUUUCGAGGUCAUCAGAUCGAAGUCAUAGGUUCUUUUUCUUGCUCAAAAAGAAGAAGGAUUUCGCAUGGACCCUGGAAUGCCAACAAGCGUUAGAAGAAUUGAAGCGAUACUUAUCGAGCCCACCUCUACUUCACACCCCGAAGGUAGAUGAAAAGCUUUACUUAUAUUUGGCAGUAUCAGAGAUAGCGGUAAGUGGGGUACUAGUUCGAGAAGAACAAGGUAUGCAAUUCCCUGUUUAUUAUGUAAGACUCUAGAGAUGCUAAAACUAGAUACCCUCACUUAGAAAAAUUAGAACUUGCAUUAAUACGCGCAUCUAGAAAGUUAAAGCCAUAUUUCCAAUGUCACCCAAUAUGUGUGUUAACUAUUUAUCCUCUCCGAAAUGUUUUGCAUAAGCCCGAACUAUCAGGCCGAUUGGCCAAAUAAGCAGUCAAACUCAGCGGGUACGAUAUUGAAUAUCAACCCCGAACGACCAUCAAGUCUCAAAUCUUGGCUGACUUCGUGGCCAAUUUUAUGCCGACCCUCGUACCCGAAGUGGAGAAAGAACUUUUGCUAAUAUCGGUACAUCAUCGGGGGUAUGGACCCUUUUCACGGACGGUGCCUCGAAUGUGAAAGGGUCCGGGCUCGACAUUGUUUUGAAGCCAUCAACAGGUAGUACUAUUAGACAAUCUAUCAAACUUCUAGGUUGACUAAUAAUGAGGCAGAGUAUGAGGCCAUGAUUGCAGGUCUCGAGCUAGCUAAAAACUUGGAGGCAGAAGUCAUUGAAGCCAAGUGUGAUUCACUGUUAGUGGUUAAUCAAGUAAAUAGAAGUUUUGAAGUUCGAGAGGAUAGGAUGCAACGGUACUUGGAUAAUCUACAUGUAACUUUGCACCGCUUCAAGGAGUGGACUCUAGAUUAUGUGCCUCGAGAACAAAAUAGUGAGGCCGAUGCACUUGCUAAUUUGGGAUCAUCGAUUGAAGAAGAUGAUAUCGUCCCCGAGACUGUCAUCCAAUUAUCGAAGUCUGUGAUUGAAGAGGGUCAUGCCGAGAUAAAUUCUACAAGUUUGACUUGGGAUUAGAGGAAUAAGAACAUCGACUAUUUGAAAAAUGUAAACUCCCAUUGGACCACAAAGAGUCAAGGGCUCUAUGAACCAAGGCUGCUAGGUUCACAUUAGAUGAAGAUGGAACAUUGUACAGGAGGACAUUCGAUGGACCAUUAGCGUUAUGUUUAGGGCAGGGGGACACCGAUUAUGUUAUACGAGAAAUCUAUGAAGGUACUUGUUGUAAGGCCCCAUGAAAUUUCUACUCAAAAACCCGAGUCUUGCAGUGCCAAGUUAGGAUCAUGUGUUAGAAAUCCAUAAAAUUCUUCAAAGUUAAAGAAUAGUGUUUUCUAGAAAAGUGCAAUUCUGCAGUUAACUCUGUGGUCGCAUAAUAGCUAUGCAGACCACAUAGUCACCGCAGAGUCAGGCAGUGUGAAGGUUAAUUUUGAGGUCAACUAUGCGGCCAAAUAUGCGAUCUCAUAAUCGAUAUGCGGGUCGCAUAGUUGUCGCAUAAUCCCCUUGGAACUUUUGCGAUGAGCAGUUCUGUGAUGCAUUUUGCGACCAUAGAACGGGUAUGCGGACCGCAUUCUGGUCGCAUGCCCAGGCAAAUUGUUCAGGUUUUUGGGAGCAUUUUUGCGGUCCAUUCUGCGGGCCGCGUGUCAAUUUUGCGAUCUCAUAUGCGAUCGCAGAUCUGAGUCGGGGCUCCAGAUUUCUAAAUUUUAAACCCGACCCCCCGGUCAUUAUAUUCUGUGCAAUAGUUCAUUUUGAGCCUAUUUUCUAGUGCUUUUAGAGUGAGAAGGAGGGUCUAAGAGAGGAAAAGUGUCUUUUAUCAAAAGUGCUCCACAAAUCCUUGUUAAAAACAUUGAAGAUAAUCAAGUGGAGCACCAAAACCUUCAUCCUAGGAUAUUGAAAUGUGAAUAUUCUGGAACGUUAUAGGAUUAAGGAAAGCUCAAUUGAGGUAUGUAUGGCUAAAAACCCCUCUUUUAGAAAUCGAGCUCCGUCGGUGUUUGCGUAAUUAUGGUAAGAUUAAUUAGAGUUGAAUGGUUGUAUGGAUUGUUGUUUCACAUGAAUUUGGGGUUGCAACUUUAUAUGCGUGAAAGAUGUGUCUCAAUAUGAUAAAUGUGCUAUUCUUGUUAACUUGAAAGGGUGUCAGGGAUAUGAAUCAUGUACUGAAAUGCUUAGACCUUAAAUUGAGAUUGAAGCUGUAUAUGUUGUGUCCUCUAUGUGAAGUCUCAUCUACAUUUAUAACUUUAUUUGCUCUUGUAUGCACAUAUUAUCCUAAAUUACCAUAUGUUGCCUAGUGCCAAAUAUAUGACGUGAUAGUUGUGGCCCCAAGUGCCAAUGAAAUGAUAUAUGUGAUACAAAGAUUGAAUUGAGAUGAUUGAUGGAAAAGGGAAACGCCUUGGUAAGGCAUCCUAGCCGAUCGGGCCGAGAUCGGACGCCAUGCCGCACACAUUGUGGUAUUGUGUUGAUAUUGAACCCCGGAUAAAAAGGGGAAAAUGAGAUUGUGAUUGAAGUGUAUGUCUCAAAUAAGGCAACCUAGCCGAUCGGGUCGAUAUCGGACUCCGCUCAAGCUAGCGGUGGUAUAGCGAAAAAUGAUGAACAGUAUGAAAUGCCCCAAACUAAAGGCUAUGGAAACAUAAUGCGAAAAUUGUAUGAUUCUUCUACAUUGAUAAUGUUGUGAUCGUUUAAAGCUUUUGAGUUAUACUUGUGCUUUCCUUAUGUUUGUAUGAAAGUUCUUUCUAACUAGAUGGUGUUUAGUUAUACAUACUAGUACUAUUCCAUGGUACUAACGUCCCUUUUGCCGAGGGCACUACAUUUCUAAAUGAAUGUAGGUGGCUCCAUUGCGGAUAAUGUCGAUCGCGUGAAGCGGAGUACCUUCUUCUCAAAGUCUUGGGGAGCUCCUUUCUCCUUCAAGGGGUUAUAUUGCACAUCUUUUGUUGUGGACUUCCACUUUUGAGGUAUAGCCGGGGCCUUGUUGACGGCAUUGUCAUACUUGUCUUUUACAUCUUUAGAGGCUCCGUAGACAUAUGUGUGGGUUAUGUACGGGUGUUGGAUGGGCCUGCGAACUAUGUUGUAAUUCUAACUCUUGCUUCUCUAAAGUGUAAUUGUAUGGAUUCUUGGAACUUAACUACAGCUUAACGUUAUGAUAUAAAAUGAACUAACAACAUUGAAUGUACUACCUUUCCUCAUUUAAAUAAAUGAAAGCAUGGUUUCCUUAUUCAUAUUGAGUUGGGUAGGAAGUGUUUGAUAAGGCUUGCUCAGUUGGGUUCACUCGAUCCGGUUGCGCCUCCUGAGGUUGGGGCGUGACACUUAUGGGAAUCACUCCGACGCUGAAUCUUUGGUCCGCAAAAUUAUUAGAGCAGGGUAUUACUGGGAUAGUAUGGAAAAAGACACUAAGGAGUUUGUUAAAAAGUGUGAUAAAUGUCAAAGUUUUGCACCAAUGAUUCAUCAGCCCGGAGAGUAACUACACUCAGUCCUGUCCCUAUGGCCUUUCAUAAAAUGGGAAAUGGACAUAGUCGGACCUCUACCAACGACACCAGGUAAAGAUAAAUUUAUUUUGUUUAUGACUAACUACUUUUCUAAGUGGGUGGAAGCACAUGCCUUCGAGAAGGUCAGAGAAAAAGAAGUUAUCGACUUCAUUUGGGACCACAUCGUGUGUCGAUUCAGGAUACCCGCCGAAAUUGUGUACGACAAUGGCAAGCAAUUCAUCGGCAACAAGGUAACGGAGUUCCUCGAAGCACACAAAAUAAAAAAGGAUUUUAUCAACACCAUAUCAUCCAACCGAAAACGGACAUGCCGAGUCAACAAACAAAACUAUCAUUCAAAACCUAAAGAAAAGGUUGGACGAUGCAAAAGGAAAAUGGAGAGAAGGUCUACCCGAGGUCCUUUAGGCAUAUCGAACGACAUCGAAGUCCAGCACAGGGGCUACUCCGUUCUCUUUAGUACAUGGCUCUGAGGCCUUAAUCCUGGUCGAAGUUGGAGAACCAGCGCCAGGUUUUGACAUGCAUCGGAGGAGUCAAAUCACGAGGCUAUGACUACUAGCCUCGGGCUAUUGGAUAAAAAUGAGAAGCAUCACUUGUUCGGAUGGCUGCACGAAGCAAAGAGUUGAGAGAUACUAUAAUAGAAGGACCAACCUUCGACACUUCGGAAUCGGGUACUUAGUUCUAUGGAAAGUCACCCUCAAUACUCGAGACCCGAAUGAAGGGAAACUAGGCCCGAAUUGGGAAGGACCGUACCGAGUCAUCGCAGUUGUCGGCAAAAGAUCUUACAAACUUGGCAUGAUGGAAGGCGAGCAAUUGUCAAACAAUUGGAAUGUAUCAUUACUCAAACGAUAUCACUGCUAAGAUAUGGCCUUCUCCUUUUUUCAUUUAAAUUUAAGGCUAACUCAUUGCAGGUGUUCGAUCGAUGCUAAAGGCACCUUUCCACACAAAGACCUUGGGUUUUAAAGCACGCAUUGGACUCUUUUUCCCAUAGAUCGGAUUUUGUCCCAAAUGGGUUUUACCGGCGAGGUUUUUAACGAUGCAACAACUAUGUGCUACCUAAGGAGAACUCAACAGUAUCCAAGGCUUCUUGUCAAUCAACCUCAAAUACUGGGGGGCAUCACCCUAGGAGAUUAUAUUUUUGAGGAAAAUACUUCACGCUAAAGAGGGCCUCGAUAGGAAAACUUUGUAAUGGACCAAACGGUUAGAUGAACCUUGUACAUAUAGAAUAGUCGAGCCCCGACGGCAAAACAUAUAGGCAUGUAUCAAAUUAUUCAAAGAAGCAUUCUUUCUAUAUCAAAAAACACUUUGUGUCUUAAAGAAAUUUGCUACUAUACGAACAUCAUACUUGUGAUUUUGCAGGAAACAGCUCAAGGGCCAAUACACGAAUACACCUCGAAUACUCGAGGACUUUUAUCGAAAGUCAACACAUUCGAGUCAUCUAAACUCAAAUUCAUAAGACCUCAAAGAGGCAUCCCCUUGACAUAAAGGCCAAGGCCAUCAUACUCAGGUACUAACCUUUUGAACAAGUUCAAAGGGUUAUCGGGAAACAAGUCCAAGAGACAUACCCGAAGGUUACGACCAUAUUAAAGGCUACAGUCGAAUAGUGCAGUUCGAAGACGUCCGACUUCCGCCAUAAGUUAAAGGCCUUCAAAUACUUUUAAAAACCGGUUAAACUAGGCUACCCUAGGCAAAAGCAAAAAUGGCUUUGAUAAAAUCAGCCCUCGAAUAAUUUAAAGGCUUCGAUAAAAUCAGUCUUCGAAAAAAGCCUCAAGAGGUAUUCAAUUAUCGUAACACAAACGAAUUACAAAUGAGGUUCCGAUUGAUCGAACCUUUGAAAAACCCAACAGGUACAAAGGACACAUGCUAAGGCAUAAAGAAAUUUUAACUAAGUCUUUUAGCCGAAAAGAGGGAAAAAUUAUAGCCGUCUUAGAGGCUGAAGGGUCCAACUUAAAGAGCCUAUGCGAAGACCUAAAAAGGCCUCAGGCCCAAUAUAAAAGUGCCUAAGGGCCAAUGCAUGCGGAGUUCAAGACCUUACUCUCACUUAACUCGGACUCAAGAGUCCCAUCGUCCCAAGCUCGCAUCAAAUCUAUUUAAACAUAGCUCAAGGAUUAAUAAAAACCUUAAGAGGUAUUCUAUUAUAAGUUCGAAGAUCUCCCAUUGAUUACUAAAAAACCUAAGGGUUGUUAUAUUCAGAAUCCGAGCCAAUGUUCACUUGAUCAUUGAUGUUAUCAAAUUUUUUCACAAGAUAAAGACAAUGCAGAAUUCAAUACAAAUUAGAGAUGAAGCAAAUGAAUUCUUUAUAUUUAUAAAAGAUGUUUACAAAAGAUAUUUACAACACCCACGAGGGGCCCUUAGACAAAAACAAAGAAACAAAAAAGAACCUAAUCUAUUUCGAGGCCACGUCCUCGGGAGCCACAUCCUCGGGAGCUGCAUUCUCGGGAGCCACAUCUUCGGGAAUCUCCUCCCCGAGGAAUUCGUCCUCAUCUCCCUUACUCUCGGAGCCACUAGCAGAAUCCCCAUCAUCAGAGAGUAAAACGGCAGCCUCUUCCUCCAAAGUUUUUGCUCUUUCAAUAUGAGCUGAGAGGUCGAAGCCACGAGCGUGCACCUCCUCGAGAGUUUCUCUCCAGGAUUGUCACCUGGCAUGGUCAAGAGCACAUGAUAACUUAACCUCAGCCACAAUGGAUAUCUCUUGUGCCCGAAUGUUAGCAGCUUCGGCGUUAGCUCGGUACGAGGACACAAAUGCCUCUGUCUUAAAUUUGGCCUCCGCAAGCUCGGUGGCUGAGUUAGAUUUGAGCUCCUCGACUUUGCGGCUCCAGGCCAAGCUUUCCUCCUUUGUAUUUUGAAGCUGGCGCUCAAUUGAAGUCAGUUGUUCCCGAAGCGUAUCUUUCUCAGAGGUGAGACAGGCCAUGUGUUUCUUCCACCUUAGGGUCUCGGCCUCUUUCAUCUUGAGCUCUUCUUGAAGCUGCUCCACCAGCUCGCCCUUCAGCUAGGCCUGCAAAGUUGAGGUGUUAGUCACUUAAUCGGAUUAAUGCAUAACAAAUCCUCAAAUGCUAUAUUACCUUUUCAAUAAGCUCGGUCUAUUCUUGAUGAGCCUUCUCCAACUCGAUUAGGAGAUCCCUGACCCCCUCCUCUUUCUGUACAUAAAGGCACUUAAGGCCAUCCCUCUCUUCCACCAGCUUCUUGAGUUCGGCUUCACAUCGGGCUAUCUUGGCUCGAGAUUUGGAAAAUACUUAUCGGUGAAGCGACACGGCCUUCACGUCAAAGAAAAGGAGUAAGACUUAGAAAGAUGGGAAUUAAACUCGAGCGUAACUAUGAAGACAAAAACUUACUUGUUUAAGAAGCCUUUGGGUCUCAUCAAAAAUAAAUAAGGUGUCAAGAUUGGGACCAUCCUCGAUCCCUGCAAGACACUCCCAAAAAAUGUCACUCCCUUCAUGGGUCGUUCACACAUUAGUGCCCUCAUGGCCUGGGCAUCUCAGAAUUGCCCUUUGGUGAACACCGGGCCCGGUGGUGAAUCAUCUACAUUGAUUACCCCAAGUGAUUCACUUGGGAUAUUAUCCUGUAUUUGAAGGGCCUCGAAAUUAGGCUCUUCGAGCUCGCCCACCAAGUAUCUCCCGGGAUGAGGCACACUUUUUCCACCUGAUGGUUCGGGAACUUUGUUCGAGCUCCCCUUUGAAAUCUCUUCGGUCGAGAUUGAACCGCACCUCCCACCAUCGGUUCAACAGCCUUUGAAGCGUCAGUGCUUCCUCUUUUCCAAGCUACCAACAGGCAGUCAUCAUCUUCUCCCUUUUCAUCCUCAUCCCGAAGGCGUUGGGCCAUUUCUAAAGAUAGGGCCACGGUAUCGGCCUUAGGCUUUCGAGCCUUGCUUUUCUUUGGCUUCGGGGAAUUUGCAGGCGAUCCCCUUUUCCUUUUCUUUUCCUUGGUGGGCUUUGAGAUUUCUUCUUCACCGAACGGGAGAGGCCGUAUAACGGCGGCGUCUCCUAAGCCUGCAUAAGGAUAAAGUGAGUAUUUCACCAAGAAACCUCAGUAUGUGAAUAAGAAAACUCACCAUGGUUUUUAGCUUCCCAUCGACCCUUUGCUAAGUCACGCCAACUGCGUUCCACAUUUGUAGAAGUGGAGGCCAGUUGCUGGACCCAACUUGCGAGGUCCUGGACCGCACCAGGAAACCAAGAAAUAGCUGCAUCAUCGGGAAUGGAUUAGAUCGAGAAAGAGUAGGGAAAGUAGAAUGUUAAGUCACCAUCGAUAAAUCUGCACUUACGUUUCAUGUUCCACUCCUCGGGGAAUGGCAUCCUCUCAGUAGGAAUCAGAUCGGAGGUCCUGAUUCGGACAAACCGGCUCAUCCAUCCUCGGUCCUUGUCCUCAUCGAUACUGGAGAAGAGAGAUAUCGUGGAUCAGCGCUGCAGAUUUAUCAGACCACCUCGAUAAAGGCGAGGGCUGUAUAGCCUGAUCAGGUGGUCGAGGGUAAAAUGCAUCCCCUCGACCAGGCACGAGAAAUAUCUGAUCAGAUUGAUGAUGCGCUAGAAUGAAGGGUAGAUCUGGCCAAGCGUCACCUGGUGUUGGCAAAAAUCAAGAAUCACUAGGUCUAUGUAACCUAAAGCUGGAUCUACGGGACCCAACGUGAAUGGAUAGGUAUACACACUUAAGUACCUCGCUUUAUGGGUAGUGGUGUCUUCUUCAGGGGAAGGGAUCACAACAUCUUUGUUCUCCCAAUUGCAGUCCUUUUUCACCUGCUCAAGCUCGCUUUCAGUUAUCAAGCAGAUGUAUCGAGACAUGGGCUCACAAUGGCCUGGUGUCAAAGCAAGUUGUUCGAUUUUAAAAUCGGAAGUUAGUUCGCACGGCCCUGGAAUACACUCCUCGAUAUGAGGUGGCACCACCGUUCUACCUCUGGCGGCCGAUAUGAUGAAGAAGUUUUUUCUUUCUGAGGAACAUUUUUAGAUGUUUUGGCCAUUGCGAUUUAUAAAUUCAAGAGAGGAGAAUGAGUAGAUGCUGUAGUAAGAGAAAAUUGAGAAGAGGGUGAACUCAAAGAAGUUGAAGGAGCUAAAGAAAAUUUAAGAAUGAUUUAAGAAGUAAAGUUUGCAAAAAAUUAUGAAGUUGGCCUAUUUAUAGAGGCUGCUUAAGCGUUUUGGGGAAGUCAAAUAGCUGACCAUCAGCCACCUCCAAUUAAUGACCUUGGGAACUAGGCGGAAGCAACUUUUUAAUCACUUCAGCCGCUGACAUCACAAGAUUGACAUCAUGGUCGAGGCGUCGGAGCAUCGAAGAUCAAAUCGUUUCUUAUCAUUUUACUCUAAGAAAUGCAGGGACUAUCUGUAUACGGUCAAAAUCAGAUAUGACCGAUUUUCCGGGCUCGAAGGGUCGCCUUAAGCCCGAGUUUGAGAUGGAUCGUUUUCGAGCUCGAGGGACCAAGAUCGAGCUCAACGACAAAGUACGAGGCUCGAAGAAUCUAGUGUUCGAGGAAUGUCGGAGCCUAAUGUGACUGACCUCGAGAUAAUGUCGUUAUGAAUUUAUAACAGAAUGAGCAAGAUUCCUGCCACGUCCCCAAGAUCAUGGCGUAAAUCCCGGAAUAGAUUUGUACGAAUCCGUACUAGGCGGUUAGACAGUUGUCCCAAUAAGAUUCUUUACUGUAAAUAGAAAUAUGCCUUAUUUAGGGUUCCCCUAUUAUAUAAAGGGGACCCCAAUCAUUUGUAAAGAUCAUCUAAUCAUUGGCAAAGAAUAUACUCUCUUACUUUUUUGCUCAUUGUUCAUCAGAAUUGUCCUUUAGCUUUAUUAUUUUUGCUUUAUUGUUCUUGAUCCAUCUCGAGGUCACUUUGGCUCGAGGUCGAGACUGGUCUACGUUCUGGUUUGAUUUUACUUGUUCCUUUCAUUUAUACUUCGGAUUUCUUGGUUAUUAAUUGGUAUUGAACUAAAUCAUGUAUCUUUAAAACUAUAAAUCAAAUUUAAUUGUUACUCAUAUUUUCGAGGUAAACAAUAACAACAACAAUAAACCUAUUGUAAUCCCAUAAGUGAGGUUUGGGGAGGAUAGUGUGUAAGCAUAUCUUACUCCUACCGUGUGCAGGUAGAGACCGUAUUUAGGAUUACUUUGGCUAAUUUAUGCUAUAUCAAAAGCACAAAGGCUCUUAGCGAAUUAUCGUUUGCCUUUUUUUAUUCUUUUAAAAUAAAGUUCACAAUAGACAAAAUAGUCAUUUAUUAUUUCCUUAAUUUUUAGGAAUAGCCCUUUAAUAAUUUUCCCUAUAUGAAAUCUUUCCUUAUUUGAAGUAGAUUCUAAAAAUUGAUCUUUGAAUACCACACAAAUUCUCGCUCGGACAGAAAUCUUCCCUCUUUAGCGUGAUUUUAUUAUUAAUUUAAAUAUAUCUCUAAUCUAUCACCUUAACAAAGGCACUAAAAUAUAGUCCUAAUUCAAAACCAAUUCAAUAGAAACUUUAUAUUCAUAGGAAGCUUAAUAUAUUAUAUCCAGGUUAUAUUCCACAAUAAAAUCGCCAAAGUGAUCCUUGGAACAAAUUAGAAUGUAAAAUUAAAUAUGUUUCAAACAACAAUAGAUAAUAGACAUUAACUAUUGGAUUGAGAGGCUUUUAGAAGCUUUGAAUUAAAAAUUUAUUUUUGAUAUCAACAACUAUUUUUUUACUUAAAUUUUGGUAAUCAAUCAUUGCAAUAAAAACUGGUUAAAGCUAGCGAGAAGAGAAGAAAACCCAUAAUAUACUAGAGCAAAUAUAGCAAAUUUUUUAACUGACAUAAAAAUUAAAUAAAAAGAUUAAUUUUUAAUUUAUGUUAUUUGACAAAUCCAUAAAGAAUCGCAAUAAAAGUAUAGGUGAUCGAGAAAUUUUAUUUUGUGUCUCACAUGUCAAGUCAUACUUAUGUGAGGCAUUCAUUUACUUACAUGUGGACUGAUUGGGGGUCCCACAUUUCAAGUGAUUAAACUUAAACAGAGAAAGAUUUUUCUUUCCUAUUCCAACACUGACUCCCCUUUUAACUUCAGAGAUUAAAAUAUUGUAAUUUUCAUAUUUAUCUUCUUGUACAAAACAAAAAA